GCAAGUCGAACGGCAGCAUGGUCUAGCUUGCUAGACUGAUGGCGAGUGGCGGACGGGUGAGUAACGCGUAGGAAUAUGCCUUAUAGAGUGGGAUAACUUGGGGAAACUCAAGCUAAUACCGCAUAAUUUCUUCGGACUAAAGCUGGGGACCUUUUAAGGCCUGGCGCUAUAAGAUUAGCCUGCGUGCGAUUAGCUAGUUGGUAGGGUAAAGGCCUACCAAGGCGACGAUCGCUAGCUGGUCUGAGAGGAUGGCC
Molecule: ribosomal RNA, 254 nt
Filed under: uncultured bacterium
Lineage: Bacteria
Description: partial 16S ribosomal RNA
Rfam family: Bacterial small subunit ribosomal RNA
Source: RNAcentral